GCCGGUGUGGCUCAGGGGUAGAGCAGUGCACUCGUAAUGCACAGGUCAACAGUUCGAAUCUGUUCACCGGCU
This 72-nucleotide transfer RNA is filed under the name Synergistaceae bacterium. RNAcentral describes it as "tRNA-Thr". It matches the Rfam family "tRNA". Rfam says of the family: Transfer RNA (tRNA) molecules are approximately 80 nucleotides in length. Lineage: Bacteria; Thermotogati; Synergistota; Synergistia; Synergistales; Synergistaceae. The record is from RNAcentral.